AUUUCCUGAAACCCUAGCUUGAAAGAGUUAAAAGCAAGCUUCUUUUGGUUUUGCUGUAGAUUUCUCAGAGGAUGCGCUGAGGGAGAGAUUCAGGAGGCGUUGUGUUUUAAAGACGAAGAUCUGAAAUUUUGUUCAGUUUCUCCUUCGUUUUUCUUCGGUUUCUUCAUAUGUGGGAAGAUUUGAUUAAGAAGGCAAAAGAUGGACGAAUCGACGUGAUUCAGGGUGGAUUUGAUACUGCUCGAUGACAGUUUCUGUUGUGGUGUUGUUGCAAGGAAAGAUGCUACAUAAUCUCUCAUUCUGGCUGAUCGUUAUUCUGCCUUAAGGAUCCUGCAGCUGCUUGUUAUCUCGAUCAAGGCCUGCUUUUUUUAUUGAUAAUUUUGAUUCUUUCAUUACACUGUAUUGAAAUCAUAUGAGUAAAAUUCGUUGACACAACCUUUGUA
Long non-coding RNA from Eutrema salsugineum, 440 nucleotides. RefSeq lists it as uncharacterized. The record is from RefSeq and is a predicted model, not a curated record. The transcript has 3 exons. Lineage: Eukaryota; Viridiplantae; Streptophyta; Magnoliopsida; Brassicales; Brassicaceae.